RNAcentral lists this ribosomal RNA (253 nucleotides) under uncultured bacterium. RNAcentral's name for it is "partial 16S ribosomal RNA". It matches the Rfam family "Bacterial small subunit ribosomal RNA", at positions 524 to 776 of the family's 1533-position model. The record is from RNAcentral.
UACAGAGGGUGCAAGCGUUGUCCGGAAUCACUGGGCGUAAAGGGCGCGUAGGCGGCUUUUCAAGUCGGGCGUGAAAUCUCCGGGCUUAACCCGGAAGGGUCGUUCGAUACUGUUGAGCUAGAGUGUGGAAGAGGCAACUAGAAUUCCGUGUGUAGCGGUGAAAUGCGUAGAUAUACGGAGGAAUACCUGAGGCGAAGGCGGGUUGCUGGGCCAACACUGACGCUGAGGCGCGAAAGCCAGGGGAGCAAACGGG